AUUGAACGCUGGCGGCAGGCCUAACACAUGCAAGUCGAGCGGAGCGGCGGACGGGUGAGUAAUGCCUAGGAAUCUGCCUGGUAGUGGGGGAGAACGUCCGGAAACGGGCGCUAAUACCGCAUACUAUCAGAUGAGCCUAGGUCGGCUUAGCUAGUUGGUGGGGUAAAGGCCUACCAAGGCGACGAUCCGUAACUGGUCUGAGAGGAUGAUCAGUCACAAGUGAAAUGAGACACGGUCCAUACUCCUACGUGAGGCAGCAGGGGGGAAUAUUGGACAAUGGGGGAACGCCGGAUCCAGCCAUGCCGCUAGUGUGAAGAAGGUCUUCGGAUUGUAAAGCACUUUAACUUGGGAGGCGAUACCCACACAAUAAGCAUCGGCUAACUUCGUGCCAUCAGCCGCGGUAAUAC
RNAcentral lists this ribosomal RNA (407 nucleotides) under uncultured bacterium. RNAcentral describes it as "partial 16S ribosomal RNA". It matches the Rfam family "Bacterial small subunit ribosomal RNA", at positions 30 to 526 of the family's 1533-position model. The record is from RNAcentral.